AGAGAACCAAAAUAGUAGAAGAACCUAAUCAAACCAGAUUGAAUCAGGUCUGUUCGGUAUAGAAUAGAAUGCCCAAGCUCAAGCGAUGCCGUUCCAAACUUUGCUUUCUUCAAAAUCAAGCUGGCCAAGAAGGUGACUAAGUUACUGAGUAGGUAAGCCAAUAACGCAAAAAGAAAAUGAUGCAAAAUGAAAGUGAUAUUUUUCACUGCUAAGUGCUAGAUAGAAGUUUGAGAAAAAGAAAGUAAAGAAAACAAUGCAAAAUAUUAUCGUCAAUGUGCAAAAUAGCACAUUUAAUGCAACUGUGUCUCAAAAACCAAAAUCAAUCCCACACAGCAGCUAAAUUACACAACCCUAAAGCCAACACGACCAAUCAAAUCCCUCAAUGAAAACCAAAAUCAAUCUCUCUUCUGAUAUACAUGACUAUGCCUCUGCCUAGAUCCCACUUCAUGUUUCACGAUGUUAAUGGAGUGAGCCCUAAGAUAAGAGAUGUGCUUGAGCCAUGGGUGCAAGGACAGGGAGGGUCACGGUUUUUGGUGAUUGACGACUGCAUAGAGAGAGUAAAAUGGGGGAAAAAAAAAAGGCUGGAGGAGUUGUGACUCGAGACGGCUUGAGAGGCAGAGAGGUAGCUAGGGAGGGGUGGAGCCUCGAGCAGAGAGGACUGAAGGAG
RNAcentral lists this unclassified non-coding RNA (667 nucleotides) under Hevea brasiliensis (rubber tree). The record is from RNAcentral. Lineage: Eukaryota; Viridiplantae; Streptophyta; Magnoliopsida; Malpighiales; Euphorbiaceae.